Molecule: transfer RNA, 92 nt
Filed under: Paraburkholderia ultramafica
Lineage: Bacteria; Pseudomonadati; Pseudomonadota; Betaproteobacteria; Burkholderiales; Burkholderiaceae
Description: Burkholderia ultramafica tRNA-Ser
Source: RNAcentral
GGCGCGGCUGGCGCGCGCGCAUCGUCUGCUGGAAGCGGGCGACGAUGCGCUCGCCGCCGAAGCCGCGAUGCUCGACGCGUUGUCCACGCUGC